CUUCAUCACUGGGAUUUGGAGAGGCCUGCUUGCUAGCCUCUUGCCCUGUGACCAUGGCCCCUGGGAUGUAUUGCCAUUUAAAAGCUUUAUUUGGGCAUAUUGGAUUUUAAAACACUUUUUCUGCCCCUUUAAAUGCAUGGGAAAAUGUGCCUCUGCCCCUCCCCGUUUUUCCUGUCCUAUUGUUUCUUCAGUAGGGCGUUGUCCCAGAGACACUGCCAGAC
Non-coding RNA from Pelobates cultripes (western spadefoot toad), 221 nucleotides. The record is from the annotation of a GenBank genome assembly. NCBI's taxonomy places the organism in Eukaryota, Metazoa, Chordata, Amphibia, Anura, Pelobatidae.